This 447-nucleotide ribosomal RNA is filed under the name uncultured bacterium. RNAcentral describes it as "SSU rRNA". It matches the Rfam family "Bacterial small subunit ribosomal RNA", at positions 26 to 518 of the family's 1533-position model. The record is from RNAcentral.
AGAGCGAACGCUGGCGGCAGGCCUAACACAUGCAAGUCGAGCGCCCGUAGCAAUACGGGAGCGGCAGACGGGAUAGUAACACGUGGGAACGCGCCCUUCGGUUCGGAAUAACUCAGGGAAACUUGAGCUAAUACCGAAUACGCCCUUACGGGGAAAGAUUUAUUGCCGAAGGAACGGCCCGCGUCCGAUUAGCUAGUUGGUGAGGUAAUGGCUCACCAAGGCUACGAUCGGUAGCUGGUCUGAGAGGAUGACCAGCAUCACUAGGACUGAGACACGGCCCAGACUCCUACGGGAGGCAGCAGUGGGGAAUAUUGGACAAUGGGCGCAAGCCUGAUCCAGCCAUGCCGCGUGGAUGAUGAAGGCCUUAGGGUUGUAAAGUCCUUUUAACGGGGAAGAUAAUGACGGUACCCGUAGAAUAAGCCCGGCUAACUUCGCGCCAGCAGCCGC